GGAGAGAUGUCGGAGUGGUCUAUCGUGCACGACUCGAAAUCGUGUGUGCGUUAAAAGCGCACCGUGGGUUCAAAUCCCACUCUCUCCG
RNAcentral lists this transfer RNA (88 nucleotides) under Caloramator quimbayensis. RNAcentral's name for it is "tRNA_Ser_CGA". It matches the Rfam family "tRNA". Rfam says of the family: Transfer RNA (tRNA) molecules are approximately 80 nucleotides in length. Their secondary structure includes four short double-helical elements and three loops (D, anti-codon, and T loops). The record is from RNAcentral. Lineage: Bacteria; Bacillati; Bacillota; Clostridia; Eubacteriales; Clostridiaceae. RNAcentral also lists the same sequence under 1 other name.